Molecule: ribosomal RNA, 200 nt
Filed under: uncultured bacterium
Lineage: Bacteria
Description: partial 16S ribosomal RNA
Rfam family: Bacterial small subunit ribosomal RNA
Source: RNAcentral
GAUGAACGCUAGCGGCAGGCUUAACACAUGCAAGUCGAGGGGUAUAGCACUUCGGUGCUAGAGACCGGCGCACGGGUGCGUAACGCGUAUGCAAUCUACCUUUUUACAGAGGGAUAGCCCAGAGAAAUUUGGAUUAAUACCUCAUAGUAUUAUGAAAUGGCAUCUAUUUUAUUAAUUAAAGUCACAACGGUAAAAGAUGA